RNAcentral lists this ribosomal RNA (630 nucleotides) under uncultured bacterium. RNAcentral describes it as "bacterial SSU rRNA". It matches the Rfam family "Bacterial small subunit ribosomal RNA", at positions 1 to 683 of the family's 1533-position model. The record is from RNAcentral.
UAGAGUUUGAUCAUGGCUCAGAGCGAACGCUGGCGGCAGGCUUAACACAUGCAAGUCGAGCGGGCCCUUCGGGGUCAGCGGCGGACGGGUGAGUAACGCGUGGGAACGUGCCUUCUGGUCUGGAAUAACCCUGGGAAACUAGGGCUAAUACCGGAUACGCCCUUUUGGGGAAAGGUUUACUGCCGGAAGAUCGGCCCGCGUCUGAUUAGCUAGUUGGUGGGGUAACGGCCUACCAAGGCGACGAUCAGUAGCUGGUCUGAGAGGAUGAUCAGCCACACUGGGACUGAGACACGGCCCAGACUCCUACGGGAGGCAGCAGUGGGGAAUAUUGGACAAUGGGCGCAAGCCUGAUCCAGCCAUGCCGCGUGAGUGAUGAAGGCCUUAGGGUUGUAAAGCUCUUUUAUCCGGGACGAUAAUGACGGUACCGGAGGAAUAAGCCCCGGCUAACUUCGUGCCAGCAGCCGCGGUAAUACGAAGGGGGCUAGCGUUGCUCGGGAUCACUGGGCGUAAAGGGCGCGUAGGCGGCGUUUUAAGUCGGGGGUGAAAGCCUGUGGCUCAACCACAGAAUGGCCUUCGAUACUGGGACGCUUGAGUAUGGUAGAGGUUGGUGGAACUGCGAGUGUAGAGGUG